AUGUCAAACGACGAAUCCCUCGCUAAAAAAAUGUUGGGUUCCAUGAAUCUCGUUGCCAUUACCUUCUUCGUUUCUUUGAGAAUAUGCAUCUUUCUUCAAUUCCUCCACCAAUUCGCCAACUGAUGGUGGCUCAGUUGGUAGGUUCUCUGACUCGUCGGAGUAAUAACUUGGGAUCAAGACUCGUCAGAGUAGUGACCUGGGAUCAAAUCCCGCUGCCACCAGGGGUUGGGGGGUUAAGGGAAAGGGGAUGGGCUACCCCUCUUGUGUAGCUCCAUGAAGCGAAAAAAAAAAUUCCUCCACCAAUUCAGAUAACUAAAUCCCUAAUCUCAUGCCAUUAUCUUCUUGCUUCUUCGAGCCUAUAUAUCCUUUUCUCUUGACCGAUUCAGAGAACUACUUCGUGUCUUUCAUUCUCAAUGCUAGAACUGUGAAGCGAUUCGGAGAACUAUAAAGCGAGGAAGCGAUUCGGAGAACUAUGAAGCGAGGAAUAGUUGAAGCCCCGAACAUAGAGGUUGAUUUGAAUUCUAGAUCGAUUGAGAGAGGUCGAUUUGAAUGCUCGACCGAUUCAAAGAGGUCGAUUUGAAGCAAUGAACUUGUGAAUACCCCACCGUUUUGAAGAUUUGAAGCCAGAGUUUGCAGUGUACACAGAGAGUUCAAUUGAAUACCCACCGUUUUGAAGAUUUGAAGCCAGAGAGUUUGCGGUGAAGACAGAGAGUUCAACUGAGCUUCAUUCCUGUUUCUGAUAAAGAUUAUAACCAUCGCCAUCUUCUCAAGAGUCCAAAGCUCCGGUGGCACACUUCAGGUAUACUCUGUUAUGCCCUUCCCACCUCCCCUGAAGGCAAAAUUUCUGGACCAGAUUUCCUUGCAAGUUGAGAAAGGUUGCGAGUUGUCCCUCUAUUUGAAACUGUGAAGGACUUGAGAGGGGCUGGUUCAGUGAUCGGGAAGUUGUUAUCCAUUGAUUGGUACCGGGAUCAUGUAAUAAAAAACCAUAAUAGACACCAAGAGGUAUGUACUACAUUAAGAAAGGCAUAGUGAUUCUGUUUGUCAAGUCCUGGCCGCUUUACUGCUGCUUGGGAACUGUACAAAGCUCAAGGGGAUGUUGUAGCUGCCUGCAAUGAAUAUGGAAUUAAAGUUACAUUGUUUCAUGGGCAUGGUGGGAGUAUUGGUCGUGGUGGUGGCCCUACCUGUCUUGCCAUACAAUCUCAGCCUCCUGGUUCUGUGAUGUAAAUUUGACUAGUUCAAGACUUCCUAUUGUUUUUGAUUCUUCUUUGUUGCCAAUAAAACUUGACACAACCCAUAGACGGUAGGUGUUGUGUAGUCCUUAAUUUUCAAGUAGUUAGGGAAUUACCAUUCCACGUAUCUAUUUGUUUGGAUGCAAAAUUUUCUUUCUUUUCUUUGAGCUUAUUAGUUUUAUUUUGAGUACAUGAAUGAAAUGUUCUUAUACUAUGCUCAACAAGAGAAGAAAAAGAUCAAAUUCUUUACUUAUCACAUAGGAUGUCUUAGCCCAUUAUUUUCUAUUACCUCACCAUCUUCAACACCUAGUAUCCAUAUCUGUUACCAAUGUGAGUGUAUGUUUAAGCUGAUGAGUUAUCAAAAAUCACUUCCAUCUUUUAUGUCUUGGAGUAACUUGGCUGUUUGUUUGUAAACUGGCAGGGAACGCUUUGCUCAACAGAACAAGGUGAGAUGGUAGUCAAAUUAAAAUAGAAGUACACAAGAAGGGGUUAAAGUGACCUUGUAUGGCUUGAAGUUGAGUGGCUGAACACUUUGUUAUAUCAAGCUUGCAGUCAUGCGAAGUCCCAUGGGGAUCAGCAAUACCAGGAUGCAAGCAAAUUCUUUGCUGAUUGCUAUGAAAGAAUAACAAGCAUGCAGUAAGAAUAUACAAGUAAACAUUAAAAGAGGAACCCCAUAUAUAGUUGAUGGACAAUUAUAUUGUGUAUCUCCACAUCAAUGUCAGAUCUCACGACCACAGCUUCACAGCUGCAUACAUCUUCAAGGCAAUGUUUUAAAAAGUGCUGGAGGCUCUCCAUGCGACAUGCUAAUUAAUGAAACAGGUUAAGACCAUAUUUCUCCCUACAGAGAAGCCUAUGACAUCAGAGGCAUGUGCUCCACUGAUUGCAUUCUCAUCAAACUCAACUCAGAUCAGAUGAUUGCCUUGAAACGUUCCAAUUAUUCCAGCAAGAUGAACAAUCUGAGGAAGGUUGUAUAAGCCAAAGAUCGGGGAAAGAAGGCAGUAGCAGUCAGAGAUCAAAGGAACAAUAAAUUGUCAUAGAUCAAUAAAUUGUAUUUGAACAAUUUGUUUUCGAUAUUAUAAUGAUCAAUCUUUAUAUUAAUAGAUUGAGUGUUACAUUUAAACUUUUAUUUAAGUUGUUUAACUUUUCAUA
This is a long non-coding RNA of Nelumbo nucifera (sacred lotus), 2378 nucleotides long. RefSeq lists it as uncharacterized. The record is from RefSeq and is a predicted model, not a curated record. Lineage: Eukaryota; Viridiplantae; Streptophyta; Magnoliopsida; Proteales; Nelumbonaceae.